RNAcentral lists this ribosomal RNA (255 nucleotides) under uncultured bacterium. RNAcentral's name for it is "partial 16S ribosomal RNA". It matches the Rfam family "Bacterial small subunit ribosomal RNA", at positions 524 to 777 of the family's 1533-position model. The record is from RNAcentral.
UACAGAGGGUGCGAGCGUUGUUCGGAAUUACUGGGCGUAAAGCGCGCGCAGGCGGAUCCUGUAAGUCUGAAGUGAAAUCUCACUGCUCAACGGUGAGACUGCUCUGGAUACUGCGGAUCUUGAGACCGGUAGAGACUGGUAGAAUUCCAGGUGUAGCGGUGAAAUGCGUAGAUAUCUGGAGGAAUACCGGUGGCGAAGGCGGCAUCCUGGACCGGCAUUGACGCUGAGGAGCGAAAGCUAGGGGAGCAAACGGGG